CCUACGGGAGGCAGCAGUGGGGAAUUUUGGACAAUGGGCGAAAGCCUGAUCCAGCCAUGCCGCGUGAGUGAAGAAGGCCUUCGGGUUGUAAAGCYCUUUUAGUCGGAAAGAAAGAGUUGCAAUGAAUAAUUGUGAUUUAUGACGGUACCGACAGAAAAAGCACCGGCUAACUACGUGCCAGCAGCCGCGGUAAUACGUAGGGUGCGAGCGUUAAUCGGAAUUACUGGGCGUAAAGGGUGCGCAGGCGGUCUUGCAAGUCAGAUGUGAAAGCCCCGGGCUUAACCUGGGAAUUGCGUUUGAAGCUACAAGGCUAGAGUGCAGCAGAGGGGAGUGGAAUUCCAUGUGUAGCAGUGAAAUGCGUAGAGAUGUGGAAGAACACCGAUGGCGAAGGCRGCUCCCUGGGUUGACACUGACGCUCAUGCACGAAAGCGUGGGGAGCAAACAGGAUUAGAUACCCUGGUAGUCCACGCCCUAAACGAUGUCAACUAGUUGUCGGAUCUAAUUAAGGAUUUGGUAACGUAGCUAACGCGUGAAGUUGACCGCCUGGGGAGUACGGUCGCAARAUUAAAACUCAAAGGAA
RNAcentral lists this ribosomal RNA (580 nucleotides) under uncultured beta proteobacterium. Its description in RNAcentral is "bacterial SSU rRNA". It matches the Rfam family "Bacterial small subunit ribosomal RNA", at positions 338 to 909 of the family's 1533-position model. The record is from RNAcentral. Lineage: Bacteria; Pseudomonadati; Pseudomonadota; Betaproteobacteria.